GCAGCAGUGGGGAAUAUUGGGCAAUGGAGGAAACUCUGACCCAGCGACGCCGCGUGCGGGAUGAAGGCCUUCGGGUUGUAAACCGCUUUCAGUAGGGAAGAAGCGAAAGUGACGGUACCUACAAAAGAAGCACCGGCUAACUAUGUGCCAGCAGCCGCGGUAAUACAUAGGGUGCAAGCGUUGUCCGGAAUUAUUGGGCGUAAAGAGCUCGUAGGUCGUUUGUUACGUCGGAUGUGAAAACCUGAGGCUCAACCUCAGGCCUGCAUUCGAUACGGGCAAACUAGAGUUUGGUAGGGGAGACUGGAAUUCCUGGUGUAGCGGUGGAAUGCGCAGAUAUCAGGAGGAACACCAAUGGCGAAGGCAGGUCUCUGGGCCAAUACUGACACUGAGGAGCGAAAGUCUGGGGAGCAAACAGGAUUAGAUACCCCAGUAGUC
This 435-nucleotide ribosomal RNA is filed under the name actinobacterium SCGC AAA044-O21. RNAcentral's name for it is "bacterial SSU rRNA". It matches the Rfam family "Bacterial small subunit ribosomal RNA", at positions 348 to 795 of the family's 1533-position model. The record is from RNAcentral. Lineage: Bacteria; Bacillati; Actinomycetota; Actinomycetes.